RNAcentral lists this ribosomal RNA (301 nucleotides) under uncultured bacterium. RNAcentral describes it as "partial 16S ribosomal RNA". It matches the Rfam family "Bacterial small subunit ribosomal RNA", at positions 509 to 807 of the family's 1533-position model. The record is from RNAcentral.
CAGUAGCCACGGUAAAACGAAGGGGGCUAGCGUUGUUCGGAUUUACUGGGCGUAAAGCGCACGUAGGCGGAUUCUUAAGUCAGAGGUGAAAUCCCAAGGCUCAACCUUGGAACUGCCUUCGAUACUGGGGAUCUCGAGUCCGGGAGAGGUGAGUGGAACUGCGAGUGUAGAGGUGAAAUUCGUAGAUAUUCGCAAGAACACCAGUGGCGAAGGCGGCUCACUGGCCCGGUACUGACGCUGAGGUGCGAAAGCGUGGGGAGCAAACAGGAUUAGAUACCCCUGUAGUCCCUGUCUCUUAUAC